RNAcentral lists this unclassified non-coding RNA (303 nucleotides) under plant metagenome. RNAcentral's name for it is "partial contains 5.8S ribosomal RNA, internal transcribed spacer 2, and large subunit ribosomal RNA". The stretch from base 1 to 105 matches the Rfam family "5.8S ribosomal RNA", at positions 50 to 154 of the family's 154-position model. The record is from RNAcentral.
GAAAUGCGAUAAGUAGUGUGAAUUGCAGAAUUCAGUGAAUCAUCGAAUCUUUGAACGCACAUUGCGCCCUUUGGUAUUCCUUAGGGCAUGCCUGUUCGAGCGUCAUUUAAACCUUCAAGCUCAGCUUGGUGAUGGGUGACUAUCCUCCCCUCGCGGGGGGGACUCGCCUCAAAAACAUUGGCGGCCGGUACAUUGGCUUCGAGCGCAGCAGAAACGCGGUCUCGAGUCCGGUGGAUCGGCUCCCAUAAGCCUUCUUUUUUAUUUUGACCUCGGAUCAGGUAGGGAUACCCGCUGAACUUAAGC